AACGAACGCUGGCGGCAGGCUUAACACAUGCAAGUCGAGCGCCCCGCAAGGGGAGCGGCAGACGGGUGAGUAACGCGUGGGAACCUACCUAGAGGUGCGGAAUAACUCAGGGAAACUUGAGCUAAUACCGCAUGAGCCCGAGAGGGGAAAGAUUUAUCGCCUUUAGAUGGGCCCGCGUCAGAUUAGCUAGUUGGUGAGGUAACGGCUCACCAAGGCGACGAUCUGUAGCUGGUCUGAGAGGAUGAUCAGCCACAUUGGGACUGAGACACGGCCCAAACUCCUACGGGAGGCAGCAGUGGGGAAUAUUGGACAAUGGGCGCAAGCCUGAUCCAGCCAUGCCGCGUGAGUGAUGACGGCCUUAGGGUUGUAAAGCUCUUUCGACGGG
RNAcentral lists this ribosomal RNA (385 nucleotides) under uncultured bacterium. Its description in RNAcentral is "bacterial SSU rRNA". It matches the Rfam family "Bacterial small subunit ribosomal RNA", at positions 29 to 443 of the family's 1533-position model. The record is from RNAcentral.